Non-coding RNA from Anoplopoma fimbria (sablefish), 922 nucleotides. The record is from the annotation of a RefSeq genome assembly. NCBI's taxonomy places the organism in Eukaryota, Metazoa, Chordata, Actinopteri, Perciformes, Anoplopomatidae.
AAAUGUAAAUAAUUAUCAUGAAUGCAUGUUUAUUGGAGACUAUGAUAAUUUAAAUUAAUAUUUAUGUCUAAUAUAUUCCAAAGUAAUGUUGAUUUGUGUGGUAAUGAAACAUGGUGAAUACAAAAUGUAUUCUGGGAUAAAAUGUGUCCAUUAAACUGAAACCAAAGACAAAUGAGCUCUGACACAUUCCUGAUCAAUACUCUGAUAAAGUCAUUGAUCCAUUGAUAAACAGCAUCAUCAGAGUAAUCCAUAAGUCCCUGUUGGAGUCAGUCAGAGCAUUUCCAUAGAGAGACACUUUGCAUCAGCAGCACCAUCCUCCAGUGCUCUGGGAGAGUUUAUAGUCCUGAGAGUUGAACACUGGAUGACUGACAGCUGUCCUUCAUCACAACAGAAGACACAGAAAUCCUCCUCAUCAAAAACAUGACUUUGAUCUCCGUCCUCAUCUGGACUCUCCUCUGCUGCUGCUUCACAGAGUCCAGAGGACAGGUCACAGUGACUCAGCCUGGAGCAGUGAGCUCUGCUCUGGGAGGCUCCGUCUCCAUCUCAUGUAGGACCAGUCAGAGGGUUUAUAAUGGGGACUAUUUAGCCUGGUACCAACAGAGAGAUGGAGAAACUCCUAAACUGCUUAUUAAUAGAGCCACUUAUCGACAAUCAGGGAUUCCAGGUCGUUUUACAGGCAGUGGAUCAAACUCUGCCUUCACUCUGACCAUCAGUGGAGUCCAGACUGAAGAUGCAGCAGUUUACUACUGUCAGAGUCGUCAUGAUAUCAACAGUCAGUAUGUGUUCACACAGUGAAAAAGCGUCGUACAAAAACCUCCCUCAGUCAGACUGAACAGAAACUGAACUGACUGCUGCAGCUGGAAGCUACUGCAGAGACUGAUACACUUCACUGAACACACACACACACACACACACACACACA